GGGUUGCUGAUGUAUGGUGCACCUGGUGUGGAUAUGAAGGCAGUGUCUGGUGCUACAUAAGAAGGCAUGACCGAGCCAAAAAUUGAAGGCGCAUACUGAGUACUGAUGAAUGGCCAAGCACUGAAACAAAUUGCCCAGAAGAGUUGUGGAGUCUUUUCCUUAAAAAUCCUCUGAAGACAACUGGCUGUUGUCCUGGGCACCCUGAUCUGGAUUAUCCCACUGAAGCCAGAGAGUGGACCAGGUAGACCCAGAGGCACUUUUACUUGAAGGCAAUCAAAUCUUUUCCACUCUGUACACAAGCUCCUUCCUUUCAGGCAAGUAAACUUUUUCCUCCCUCUUUAUUUCCCCCUGGUAAGCAAACAUAACCUAAAAGAAAAGGACAGAUUAAAGCUGCUUGCUCAUAAAACUCGUCUUCUUCCUAUACUAGGAAUU
Tympanuchus pallidicinctus (lesser prairie-chicken) is the source of this 432-nucleotide long non-coding RNA. RefSeq lists it as uncharacterized. NCBI's taxonomy places the organism in Eukaryota, Metazoa, Chordata, Aves, Galliformes, Phasianidae. The transcript is spliced from 3 exons. The record is from RefSeq and is a predicted model, not a curated record.